GCCAACCUUCACAAUACCCAGGGAGGCUCAGUCAGCCUUCACAAUGGCACAGCCAACCUUCACAAUACCCAGGGAGGCUCAGUCAGCCUUCACAACACCCAAUGAGGUACUGUCAACCUUCACAACACCCAAUGAGGUACAGUCGAUCUUCACAACAUCCAGGGAGGCACAGCCAACCUUUAUAACACCCAAUGACACAAGGCAAACUUCACAAUAUCCAGGGAGGCUCAGCCAGCCUUCACAACACCCAGGGAGGUACAGUCAAUCUUCACAACAUACAGGGAGGUACAGUCAAUCUUCACAACACCCAGGGAGGUACAGUCAAUCUUCACAACACCCAGGGAGGUACAGUCAAUCUUCACAACAUACAGGGAGGUACAGUCAACCUUCAUUAACACCCAGUGAUACAAGGUAACCCUCAGAACACCCAGGGAGGCUCGGCCAGCCUUCACAAUGGCACAGCCAACCUUCACAACAUACCUGGAACCCAGUUCCUCAGCCUCACUCUCUUGCAUCACGACCAG
Molecule: long non-coding RNA, 524 nt
Organism: Acomys russatus (golden spiny mouse)
Lineage: Eukaryota; Metazoa; Chordata; Mammalia; Rodentia; Muridae
Exons: 3
Source: RefSeq, a predicted model, not a curated record